GGGGCCCUGCCAACUGUCCAUCCUGGGAAGGUGGGGACGCAUUCCCGCUCUCACCUUGGUGACCGUGCCUACUGAGAUUGGGAUCCAGUCUUUCCCGCUGUGAAAGGGACCAGGUCCCUACACCACAACUGCUGUCGCUCUGUCGCCUGCACUGUGACCUGCACUAGUCACGGGAGCCCUAGAGAGAUAAGCCAGGACGCCUGGAAAUGAGGUCAGGUUCUUGAAGGUUUCCUGCAUCACAUCCCUGUAGAGAUUCUUCUGGGAAGGAUCCAGCAAAGCCCACUCCUCCUGGGUGAAGCUGACAGCCACAUCCUCAAAGGCCACUGAAUCCUGAAACAUCUCACAUAUGUAAAGGAGGACAGAAGCCAGGUUCCUGAAGGUUUCCUGCAUCACAUCUCUGUAGAGAUUCUUCUGGGAAGGAUCCAGCAAAGCCCACUCCUCCUGGGUGAAGUUCACAUCUACAUCCUCAAAGACCACUGAAUCCUGAAACAUCCCACAUGUGUAAAGAAACAUGGGUGAGACUGACAGCUAUGGACUCCAAACAUUUAUUCCAUGAUCUGGUCAUCAGACUUUUUACUCUGUCAACACUCACUCUUCCAUAAAGAAAUUCUUUUUUUUAA
Pan troglodytes (chimpanzee) is the source of this 620-nucleotide long non-coding RNA. RefSeq lists it as uncharacterized. The record is from RefSeq and is a predicted model, not a curated record. The transcript is spliced from 3 exons. Lineage: Eukaryota; Metazoa; Chordata; Mammalia; Primates; Hominidae.